This 497-nucleotide ribosomal RNA is filed under the name uncultured bacterium. RNAcentral describes it as "partial 16S ribosomal RNA". It matches the Rfam family "Bacterial small subunit ribosomal RNA", at positions 28 to 507 of the family's 1533-position model. The record is from RNAcentral.
GAUGAACGCUGGCGGCGUGCCUAAUACAUGCAAGUCGAGCGAACAGACGAGGAGCUUGCUCCUCUGACGUUAGCGGCGGACGGGUGAGUAACACGUGGAUAACCUACCUAUAAGACUGGGAUAACUUCGGGAAACCGGAGCUAAUACCGGAUAAUAUAUUGAACCGCAUGGUUCAAUAGUGAAAGACGGUUUUGCUGUCACUUAUAGAUGGAUCCGCGCCGCAUUAGCUAGUUGGUAAGGUAACGGCUUACCAAGGCAACGAUGCGUAGCCGACCUGAGAGGGUGGUCGGCCACACUGGAACUGAGACACGGUCCAGACUCCUACGGGAGGCAGCAGUAGGGACUCUUCCGCAAUGGGCGAAAGCCUGACGGAGCAACGCCGCGUGAGUGAUGAAGGUCUUCGGAUCGUAAAACUCUGUUAUUAGGGAAGAACAAAUGUGUAAGUAACUAUGCACGUCUUGACGGUACCUAAUCAGAAAGCCACGGCUAACUACGUG